Molecule: unclassified non-coding RNA, 2986 nt
Filed under: Nilaparvata lugens (brown planthopper)
Lineage: Eukaryota; Metazoa; Arthropoda; Insecta; Hemiptera; Delphacidae
Description: uncharacterized LOC111057546, transcript variant X23
Source: RNAcentral
CUGAUCCUGACAGAUGAUAGUGCGAAGAAAGGCAAGUGCUGUGCAGUGUGUGACAGGAUCUAAUUUUGAAGUUUCAGCUGAUUUUGACAUUUUUAACCAGUUUGUGCUUGUAUUCAAGUCGGUAAAAGAUAGUGCUUAUCAAUUCCUGAACUGAAUUGUGUCUAAAAAGUGCGGUUUCAAUGUUAUUUGCACGUUAUUUAUUUAUUUAAAUUUGAGCUAUGUAUACCUCAUUACUUUUACCCAGUAAAGUGAAGUACUUCUUAGAAGUGUGCCAGGUCUCGUUGAGAGCCGAUCUAUAUGGGGCAAUGCGUCUCCAGUAGGUCGGAGAAGGGAGUACUUGCACGAAGCAAAGGGGCACCACCCACCAAAAAUCCCUUCAAACAUCGUCAUAUCAAGAUGGACAAGGGCAAGCAGCAGCAGUCGGCAAGCGCACACGCACACACACGCGGUGAGGCAAUGUCGUUCGGCUUCAAGCGACCGACGACCGCGCAUGCGCAGUUGCCAGCAGCCACCCCCGCCCCCGCCGCCUCCGACGAGAAGAAGGAGUUGUCUUCGGUCGACUCACUAGUCAUGCAACAGAAUUGCACUGCUCGCUCUGGAACCCCCAGGCUAGCCCGUCCGAAGAAGGACGCGACCGGUAACAGUAAUACGCGCACAAACAGAUUUGGAUUCAGGAACACAACUGCUCUCUCCAACAAAGUGGCUGACUCGCAGAAGAGCGACACGUCUUCCUUGUACAUUAAUAAUUAUGCCGACAACACUCCUUCUCGGACCGAUUCCAAAUCUUCCGUAGUAAAGUUGAGCAGCAACCGUAGCACGGCGUCUUCUGACUCGGCGCGAUCGGCGUCGUCUUUGAGCGACGACAAUCACAGCAGCAGUAGGGCGUCGUCGAAGGGAGGAGCCAAGUCGCAGUCGCAGCCGCAGCCGUCUGCGACCCGCUUCACACUGCUCACGAGCCACCUGCCGCGGCCGCAGUUUCCGGUGCGACUGGCCGCGUCAGCCGCUCACUACAAGUCGCCGGACAAGUCGGCCAAGACGGCUGCCAACAACUACACCGCUCGCAAGGCGGCCCACUCCGACAACGGCAAUGGCUCGUCUGCCUCCUCUACAACAGAUGCUGAUUCUGGAACUGGUAGUCAGAAGAAUGGUGAUUUGGAUGCGCAUGGCAUCACAACUCUUGAAGAAAGCCCAAGUGCCAAAAACAAACUUCGCAAGAAAUCACGACCGUUGGAAAUGGUGUUCCUGAACAACGAGAAGAAAACGUUCGAACUGCGUGAGCUGCAAGACUCGAUCGAGGUGACAGAGAUAGUGCCACUGGAGCUGCCUGUCGCUGCGUCGGGCAGCGGUCGCAUUGUGCAGGAGAGGGGGGGAUUUGUGCAGGAGAGGGGGGGCAUUGUGCAGGAGAGAGCUCGCGCCUACCAGCAGGCCACCAUGCAGCCGCAGCUGCAGCAGCAGCAGCUGUUCUCGUCCGAUGAGGAGGAAAGCGACGAGGGAUUCGAUGAUGAAGGCUGUGGCGAAGAGAAACAACAUAGAGACCGACUGCUGAGUGAGAAGGUGGAACGGAGCAACUGCCUGGGCGGAGGGGAGGGAGACGCCGACGAACUGUGGGGGCACGGGGAGGCCAUGAUAGGUGAAGAUGACUUAUCCAAUCCAUCCAGCGGCGAAAACAAUGGAGAAGACAUAGACAAGAUGAAUCCUCCUCUGCGGUCGGUGCUUCUGAAGAUUGAGGACCCGGCGUUCGCGACGCUGGCCGCGAUGUCGACAUCCACCAUGCUGGAGGACGAGACCUCACCCGACUUCAGCAGCUCACCUCCCAGCUCCACUGCAGACCUCGGCCUCGAACUCACUCAGCCUACUGUUCAGCUCGACAAGAAAAAUAAUUUAGUGGGAGGAAGCCCAGAGAGCCCGGGCACACCGACGCACGCAUCUAACUCGCUGUCUCUGUCGGAGGGCAGAGGUGACUUCCUGAUUGACGACGAGAUCGCCGACCAACCGGGCCUCGUGUUCGACGAGACGGUAACCGCCAACUCGUCCGCCAACACCAUCAUGCCAAACAGCAACGAUACCACGCCCAUUGCCGUGGAGUUGCCGCCAAAAACAACAGGGAGAAUCGGACAAUUGUCACACGAUAGCCCGGCUCAUCACAACUCUGUGGGGACUCUUUCUCCUUGCGAGAGUAUCACAUCAGACGACAUGAUGAUCGACUACAACCCCAGUGAGGCUAGCAGUUUCGAUGACAUUAAUGUUGAUCGAAGAUUGGAGAUGAUAGGCUUGAGUGAAAAUGAAGAAGCCGCCUUGAGGUCUGACAUUGAAGCAAUCAAGAACGAUGAAGUGUUGAAGGAGUGGUCUUCUCGACUGUCACUUGGAAUGGGCAAUGGGGUGAGAGCGACACAUUUUCUGCGUUCGCGUGUUGGCAGUACGGGGAGUGGUGGUGGGGGUGGAGACUCCCCUCGCUCCCUUCCUCUUGACACCCCGCGCCUUAGGGGAAGCCCUCUGCGCCCUUCCAGACAGGGGAACAGUUCUCCCGGAGAAGACUUCAGUGAGGACUCUGGAAUUCGGCUAGACCGGACAACUCACCAGGACAUGUUUCAGGAUGUGAUUAGCAUCAAAACAAUGCUUUUGAGAUUAACACGUGUUCUUCAAGAGACUGAUCAAGUGAAUGCCUUCGAGAAUUCAUUGAAUAAUGGAUAUUACAAUUUGGGAAAUGAAGGCUCACAAGAGGAUGUUACAAGUCAGAAAAAAGAAAUAGCUGAAGAAAUAUCUGACUUGAAACGACAGGUAGGUCUUGUUCUUGCAGCAACAAUUGGAGGAGAGGGACCGCACCAUUUCGGGGCUGCAGACCCGGCUGCAGGAGACCCGGACUCCCCCCUCCACUGAUCCGCCCCCUCAACACCCCCGCCAAGCCUGCAAUGCUGCCACACAAACCGAGCGGGGUCUACCAACUGACAGCAUGGGCGGCAACCUAGUUAGCUUUCGCCUGGGAAAG